Molecule: ribosomal RNA, 253 nt
Filed under: uncultured bacterium
Lineage: Bacteria
Description: partial 16S ribosomal RNA
Rfam family: Bacterial small subunit ribosomal RNA
Source: RNAcentral
UACGUAGGGGGCGAGCGUUGUCCGGAAUGACUGGGCGUAAAGCGCGCGCAGGCGGCCUGACGCGCCGGCCGUGAAAGCCCCUGGCUCAACCAGGGCGGGUCGGUCGGGACGGUCAGGCUGGAGGGUGUCAGAGGGGGGUGGAAUGCCGCGUGGAGCAGUGAAAUGCGUAGAGAUGCGGCGGAACACCGGCGGCGAAGGCGGCCCCCUGGGGCACAUCUGACGCUGAGGCGCGAAGGCCGGGGGAGCGAACGGG